GCAGGCAUAGCUCAGAGGAAGAGCAUCGGACUUCGAAUCCGAGGGUCGUGGGUUCGAGCCCCAUUGUCUGUA
Molecule: transfer RNA, 72 nt
Filed under: Naegleria gruberi
Lineage: Eukaryota; Heterolobosea; Eutetramitea; Acrasida; Naegleriidae
Description: tRNA-Arg (TCG) (tRNA-Arg-TCG-3-1)
Rfam family: tRNA
About the family: Transfer RNA (tRNA) molecules are approximately 80 nucleotides in length. Their secondary structure includes four short double-helical elements and three loops (D, anti-codon, and T loops).
Source: Rfam by way of RNAcentral